AUAAACCUACAUGUCUGAGAAAGUCCAAGCUUAUCAUUUAGGAGCUAUUUCUCCCUAAUAAAGAAAAAUUAUCAGACGCAUAUUGUUAGGAUUUAAUUUGCUAUGAAUUUAGCAUGGACUCGGAGUUAUAUAUAUAUAUACAAAGAGGUAGAUUGUGAUUAGAGAACAUACAGAAGUAAUAAUACAGAAACUUGCUCUAGAUAAUUAGCUAAGAGCCUUACUCUAUGCUAGGGGUGUAGCCAAAAGAAUAAUCUGGUGCAUGGCUGCAUGCUCUCACAGGGUGGAUAAAAAGAGAGACCUAGUAUUACAUAGCAUCUAGAGAAGGAUGCAAAACUUGAUGAACAUUUAAACAGUGAUACCUACACAACCAAUCGUCUUGGCUAGUUCACCACAUGAACUGCACAAGGCCAAUAGGAGAUCUUCCAUCGGGACAAAAUUCAUCUUUGCAUUGUGAGCUUUAUUCCUCUCAAUAAAAGACACAAAAUUCUGUAUAUGUUUUUUGAACUUGAGGAAGUCCAACUUGAAACCCUUAUUCAUAUCACUUUUCUACAACAGCAAGAAAUUCAGCUGAUUGAUUUCUUCGCAUUUGAUUUGCAUUUGUAUUCAUUAGCUUUGGCUGCAGGUUCAAGUUGAUAGGCUUGGAGUUGGGGAUCAAAAGGGUAACCAAGCGCUCAAUUUCCGAAAGCAAUAACUCAGAUCUGAUGUCGGAUCGAAACAAAAAUGCAAAAAGACAACACAAACGUAAAAGAUCGAACUCUAAUUUAGUUACUGAGUGAGAUGUUUUGCUACCGAGUUCAAUGUGUCAAAGGCAUCAUAAUAAAAUCCACCUCAAUGUCCACACAACUGAACUUUGACAACUCCAGAGAAUCAGCAGGACAAGACCCAGAGAGGCCAUCCAAAAUCAGAGGGGAGACACAUUUUAAUGAACAAUCUAUUCCAGGUAUACCUUCAAUUUUGGAACACAGUCAAACAAUUUAAGAGUUAAAUUCGUCUAAACAGAAGUUAACAACCUUUUGUGCCAAUGUACAGAAACUGAAGCAGCCGGAAAAUUUACCUGAAGUGAACCAACUAGACUGAAGAUUCUUGAGCAAGUAUGACCUAUUUCAUAUACCUCAAGAAGAAUGGAUGCUACAAUUAAUGGCCAGACCAACAUUACACAGAACAGAAAAGAAUAGAUCUUGGUAGCAGUGUUCCAAUAUCUGGAGAUGGUCCUGAUUCAACGAAGUCAUUCGGACAAGUGCCACAGCAAGAAGACAUCCAUAACAAGUCGAACUGCAAGUAUAUAUUAUCAAAUAGAAUGAUGGACAAAGAAGAGAAUCUCACAAUUUAUGCAAACCUGCCCGACGGACAAUUUUGAAAAGAAGAAAAAUCUCAACGAGGUUCACAUAAUAGAUCGAGGAGGGAAGCGACCAGCCUGACGGAGACAGGAACGAGUUGAGGAGGAGGCCCAUGGGCGACGGGCGGGAGGAGCACGGAGGGGCGGUCGCCGCCCGCUGACUUGCCGGCGUCGAGGUAGAUGUUGAUCCGCAUCUCUGCCGCCAGCAUCCUACCACCGCUGCCAUCUCGUAGGUCGCCGGAUCUAGCGGAAGGAAACCGUGCUACACCGCCGCCUAAUACGCCAUGCCACACACAUACCUCGCCUCCACCGGUCCACCACCUCCGGCCACUCCGCCUUAUUAGUCGAUCUGCUCGAAGGGGAAGAGUGAAAAGGAAUACAUGGCAGCAGCGCAGCGCAUCGCCGGGACAAACUAAUUUUUUGGAGAGGGAAGAAGAGGGUGCGUGGGGCUCAGAGGCAGGCUACUCUCUUUCUUCCUUCUAGACGAAGGAAAGGAGCGGUGGUACAAGGGAGACGAGAAGGCGUGCUUGUCUCGUGUGCGUUUGCUGCCUUCGUAAUGUUACCUUGGGGAGGUGUCAACCAGGGGCAGCAGCAAUAAA
This 1935-nucleotide long non-coding RNA is filed under the name Triticum aestivum (bread wheat). RNAcentral's name for it is "long non-coding RNA (TAES_LNC018749)". The record is from RNAcentral. Lineage: Eukaryota; Viridiplantae; Streptophyta; Magnoliopsida; Poales; Poaceae.